RNAcentral lists this ribosomal RNA (253 nucleotides) under uncultured bacterium. RNAcentral's name for it is "partial 16S ribosomal RNA". It matches the Rfam family "Bacterial small subunit ribosomal RNA", at positions 524 to 776 of the family's 1533-position model. The record is from RNAcentral.
UACGGAGGAUCCAAGCGUUAUCCGGAUUUAUUGGGUUUAAAGGGAGCGUAGGCGGCCUAUUAAGUCAGGGGUGAAAGACGGUGGCUCAACCAUCGCAGUGCCUUUGAUACUGAUGGGCUUGAAUGUAGUUGAGGUAGGCGGAAUGUGACAAGUAGCGGUGAAAUGCAUAGAUAUGUCACAGAACACCGAUUGCGAAGGCAGCUUACUAAGCUAUGAUUGACGCUGAGGCUCGAAAGCGUGGGGAUCAAACAGG